AGGGGGCGUGGGAGGCGGCGAAGUGCGGAGGAGACCGUAUGGGAAGAGGAGGGACUUGCACCAAGCGCCAUUUUCUUCUCUCGAAGCCUUCGCCACCCCCAGCACACCACCCGUCCUUCCCCCACCCACAGUCUUCCUCCGACGGGGUCCGCUCUCUCCCUCCCCUACACAGCCCCCCACCCUAGGGGCCGCGGUGAGAGCCCCAGCAAAGCCUUGAGGAGAAGCGGGCUCCGCACGCGCACCCGCUGUGGCCCGGGCCGCCGCUGCAUUGUCCCGGGGGCGCCCCGGCCCCCUCCCCGAAGCUCCCCACCCCGCCCGGCCACGCCCCGCCGCCCGGGACGGCCGCACUCGCCGCGCCGGAGCCAUUCCCGGGAGUCCGCUUCUGGCGCGGAGCGGCCUACAGCGCAUGGGGUGCGGGUUCGAAGAAGGAGGAGGUCCAGCGAGGCCGAGGCGGGGAAAGAGGAGGUCUGGCAGCGCCGCCAUUUCCCACGGCCGUCGCCUACGAACGGACUUUCUGCUCGCUCGCUUGCAACUGACAGAGAACCGGAAGUGACGAAAGUCAAGAGCUGCCGGCCCCGCCCCUCUGGGACUGCUUACACGUGAUGGGGCGUGGCCUCCUCGCCGAAACCAACAGCGAGACCCUUUCCAGGGCCUUAAAGGGACCGCCCUCGACCUGAGCCAGUGCCUUGAAGGUGAAAUACAGCAAAGAUUGAACCUGACCUGUGAGUGUGACCGAGGGCACGAAUAAAACAUGAAUAACAAA
Molecule: long non-coding RNA, 763 nt
Organism: Suricata suricatta (meerkat)
Lineage: Eukaryota; Metazoa; Chordata; Mammalia; Carnivora; Herpestidae
Exons: 2
Source: RefSeq, a predicted model, not a curated record